CCUACGGGGGUGCAGCAGUGAGGAAGAUUGGGCAAUGGACGGAAGGCUGAACCAGCCAUGCCGCGUGCAGGAAGACGGCUCGAUGAGUUGGAAACUGCUUUUGGACAAGGGGAAACCUGAAGACGUGGAUUCAGCUGAAAGUACUGUACGAAUAAGGAACGGCUAACUCCGUGCCAGCAGCCGCGGUAAUACGGAGGAUCCAAGCGUUAUCCGGAUUUAUGGGGUUUAAAGGGUGCGUAGGCGGAUUGAUAAGUUAGAGGUGAAAUGUCCGAGCUUAACUCGGGAACUGCCUCUCAUACUGUUGAUCUAGAGAGUAGAUGCGGUAGGCGGAAUGUCUGGUGUAGCGGU
Molecule: ribosomal RNA, 348 nt
Filed under: uncultured bacterium
Lineage: Bacteria
Description: partial 16S ribosomal RNA
Rfam family: Bacterial small subunit ribosomal RNA
Source: RNAcentral